GGAGACAGAGAGAAGGAACAGCAAACCCCGGAGGCUAACCCAGAGAAUUCAGAGCAACCCUAAAGGAAACCUUGAAGGAAAAUCUGCACAAAGAUUAUCUCCGCCCAACUCAACCCAGCGCCAACCCUAAAAGUGACUUGCCAAUUCAAGGUUGCAAUUCAAUUGCAAACAGGUUUGCAUUACUAUUACCGCUUUAUCGCUUUAUGUUCUUAAUUUACAUGUGAUAUCAUAAUUGAAUUCAUAAAUAUAUUUGAGGUUCU
Molecule: long non-coding RNA, 260 nt
Filed under: Lathyrus oleraceus (garden pea)
Lineage: Eukaryota; Viridiplantae; Streptophyta; Magnoliopsida; Fabales; Fabaceae
Description: Pisum sativum (pea) long non-coding RNA (PSAT_LNC019846)
Source: RNAcentral